GUCCCCUUCGUCUAGAGGCCUAGGACACAUCCCUUUCACGGAUGCGACACGGGUUCGACUCCCGUAGGGGACGCCA
RNAcentral lists this transfer RNA (76 nucleotides) under Alphaproteobacteria bacterium. RNAcentral describes it as "tRNA-Glu". It matches the Rfam family "tRNA". Rfam says of the family: Transfer RNA (tRNA) molecules are approximately 80 nucleotides in length. Their secondary structure includes four short double-helical elements and three loops (D, anti-codon, and T loops). RNAcentral also lists the same sequence under 3 other names. Lineage: Bacteria; Pseudomonadati; Pseudomonadota; Alphaproteobacteria. The record is from RNAcentral.